GGCUGGUUAGCUCAGUGGUUUGAGCGCGGUGCUGACAACAACGACGACACAAAGGUCGCGGGUUCGAUUCCCGCUCGGUCCU
This 82-nucleotide transfer RNA is filed under the name Apaloderma vittatum (bar-tailed trogon). It matches the Rfam family "tRNA". Rfam says of the family: Transfer RNA (tRNA) molecules are approximately 80 nucleotides in length. Their secondary structure includes four short double-helical elements and three loops (D, anti-codon, and T loops). The record is from Rfam by way of RNAcentral. Lineage: Eukaryota; Metazoa; Chordata; Aves; Trogoniformes; Trogonidae.